GUACAGGUUGUGAUUUGAGAACUUAUUUUCAAUUUUGACUAGAAGCGACUCUUGGAUGGUGAAAGCAAGAGAGCCAAAGAAAAUAAGGAACACUCAAUGAACUGGAUAGGAGAAAUGAAAGUAGACUAUCCCGCAAGACAGCGUUAGAGUCCUAGAGUGCAUAAUUUUAAAAAUUAUGAAUAAGGAUGGUACCGCGAUAUCAGUCGUUCCUUUG
This 214-nucleotide non-coding RNA is filed under the name Candidatus Stoquefichus. Its description in RNAcentral is "T-box sequence". It matches the Rfam family "T-box leader". Rfam says of the family: Uncharged tRNA acts as the effector for transcription antitermination of genes in the T-box leader family. T-boxes are found upstream of many aminoacyl-tRNA synthetase genes and some amino acid biosynthetic genes usually in Gram-positive bacteria. The record is from RNAcentral. Lineage: Bacteria; Bacillati; Bacillota; Erysipelotrichia; Erysipelotrichales; Erysipelotrichaceae.